This 255-nucleotide long non-coding RNA is filed under the name Panax ginseng (ginseng). RNAcentral describes it as "long non-coding RNA (PGIN_LNC013259)". The record is from RNAcentral. Lineage: Eukaryota; Viridiplantae; Streptophyta; Magnoliopsida; Apiales; Araliaceae.
UUUUAAAUCAUAAAAGAUAGUAGAUUUUAUUCUCUACUUGACUCUUUUAAUGGAUUCUUUGUUCCGCUGCAGUUAAACUUGAUGGUUGUUAUAUUGUAUCAGUUUAACACUGUUGAAGGCUAACGAUAAUAUAUUAUGCAUUAUCUUAGUCAUAAUAUUUCCUACUGGGCUAGUUGAGCUCACCCUUUUACUUUUAUUGUUCUCUUCAGGAAAUGAGAACAUAGCAGGGACUAGUCGGGGAACGGAGUGACGGAC